GCACCGCGGAGGAGGCGGCCCUGGCGCGGGGAAGCAGUGGGAAAAUCGCAAGGAAGCCGGCGCUGCUCUGAAGGGAGAGUCUGUGCAGUGGCACCUGCGCGAAGCUGGCCAAAGCCUGCCCAGACGGCUCACCUGUGCGGGAUGGAACAAAAGGUCGGCUUGAGGUUUGCGAGUCCCAGCUCCCACUGCCCCUGCCACCUGCCUUUCCCUUCUCAGGACAUACACAGGACUGGGAGAAAAUAGACUAAGUAUUUGAUAUUACAGUAUUGUUAGGUUUUUAUAUGUGCGGUAUCUUAGGAGGGAACAGAAAGCAGCAGACACACCACUGACGAUGGCUUCCAGUGUGGCAGGGGCCAAAGCCCUUGCUCUGUGGCUCCAGGGGCAGCCUGUGCAGGCCCAGCCUGGGGCCACUCAUGCUCCCCAGCCCCACACGAGGCCCAUCCCGUCUCAGCAUAGGCUUCCUUCUUUCCACUGUUCCUGGAGACCCAGCAGGCUGUCAUGGGCCUUUGGUCCCUACACAGUCCACUCCAGUGGCCACCAGGCUUCUGCAGCCAUCAUUUCCCAUGUGCACGUGGGAAAGAACUAGGCCAGGCUUCUAAGUUAUCUAGACCUUCCUUUUUUUUUUUUUUUUUUUUUUUUUUUGAGACACAGUCUCACUGUGUCGCCCAGGCUGGAGUGCAAGUGGUACGAUCUCAGCUCACUGCAACCUCUGCCUCCUGGGUUCAAGUGAUUCUCUGCCUCAGCCUUCCAAGUAGCUGGGAUUACAGGUGCACACCAACACACCCAGCUAAUUUUUGUAUUUUUAAUAGCGAUGGGGUUUCACCAUGUUGGCCAGGAUGGUCUCGAACUCCUGAUCUCAAGUGAUCCGCCCACCUCAGCCUCCCAAAAUGUUUGGAUUACAGGCAUGAGCCACCACCCCUGGCCUGGACCCUCUUUUUGACAUGUGUGAGCAUAGGCAGCAAGCAAG
Molecule: long non-coding RNA, 967 nt
Filed under: Homo sapiens (human)
Lineage: Eukaryota; Metazoa; Chordata; Mammalia; Primates; Hominidae
Description: HSALNT0331380
Source: RNAcentral